RNAcentral lists this ribosomal RNA (1347 nucleotides) under uncultured bacterium. RNAcentral's name for it is "bacterial SSU rRNA". It matches the Rfam family "Bacterial small subunit ribosomal RNA", at positions 28 to 1381 of the family's 1533-position model. The record is from RNAcentral.
GACGAACGCUGGCGGCGUGCUUAACACAUGCAAGUCGAACGAUGAAGCCUAGCUUGCUAGGUGGAUUAGUGGCGAACGGGUGAGUAAUACGUGAGUAACCUACCUUUAACUCUGGGAUAAGCCUGGGAAACUGGGUCUAAUACCGGAUACGACCAAUCUCCGCAUGGGGUGUUGGUGGAAAGCGUUAUGUAGUGGUUAUAGAUGGGCUCACGGCCUAUCAGCUUGUUGGUGAGGUAACGGCUCACCAAGGCGACGACGGGUAGCCGGCCUGAGAGGGUGACCGGCCACACUGGGACUGAGACACGGCCCAGACUCCUACGGGAGGCAGCAGUGGGGAAUAUUGCACAAUGGGCGCAAGCCUGAUGCAGCGACGCCACGUGAGGGAUGACGGCCUUCGGGUUGUAAACCUCUGUUAGCAGGGAAGAAGAGAGAUUGACGGUACCUGCAGAGAAAGCGCCGGCUAACUACGUGCCAGCAGCCGCGGUAAUACGUAGGGCGCGAGCGUUGUCCGGAAUUAUUGGGCGUAAAGAGCUUGUAGGCGGUUUGUCGCGUCUGCUGUGAAGGCCGGAGCUUAACUCCGUGUAUUGCAGUGGGUACGGGCAGACUAGAGUGCAGUAGGGGAGACUGGAAUUCCUGGUGUAGCGGUGGAAUGCGCAGAUAUCAGGAGGAACACCGAUGGCGAAGGCAGGUCUCUGGGCUGUAACUGACGCUGAGAAGCGAAAGCAUGGGGAGCGAACAGGAUUAGAUACCCUGGUAGUCCAUGCCGUAAACGUUGGGCACUAGGUGUGGGGAACAUUCCACGUUUUCCGCGCCGUAGCUAACGCAUUAAGUGCCCCGCCUGGGGAGUACGGCCGCAAGGCUAAAACUCAAAGAAAUUGACGGGGGCCCGCACAAGCGGCGGAGCAUGCGGAUUAAUUCGAUGCAACGCGAAGAACCUUACCAAGGCUUGACAUAUACUGGACCGCAUCAGAGAUGGUGUUUCCCUUCGGGGCUGGUAUACAGGUGGUGCAUGGUUGUCGUCAGCUCGUGUCGUGAGAUGUUGGGUUAAGUCCCGCAACGAGCGCAACCCUCGUUCUAUGUUGCCAGCACGUUAUGGUGGGGACUCAUAGGAGACUGCCGGGGUCAACUCGGAGGAAGGUGGGGACGACGUCAAAUCAUCAUGCCCCUUAUGUCUUGGGCUUCACGCAUGCUACAAUGGCCGGUACAGAGGGUUGCGAUACUGUGAGGUGGAGCUAAUCCCUAAAAGCCGGUCUCAGUUCGGAUUGGGGUCUGCAACUCGACCCCAUGAAGUCGGAGUCGCUAGUAAUCGCAGAUCAGCAACGCUGCGGUGAAUACGUUCCCGGGCCU